Long non-coding RNA from Mustela lutreola (European mink), 1069 nucleotides. RefSeq lists it as uncharacterized. Lineage: Eukaryota; Metazoa; Chordata; Mammalia; Carnivora; Mustelidae. The record is from RefSeq and is a predicted model, not a curated record. The transcript has 3 exons.
CAUAAAACCCUCAGACACAAACUAGAUGAAGAAAGGAAUUCAUUGGUGCACAUACCUGAAAAAUCCAGGGGUUCCAUGCCUAACAUGGAGCCCAGUGUGGACUCCAGUGUGGAACCCAAUGUGGGGCUUGGACCCAUAUACCAAGGUCAAGACCUGAACUGAGAUCAAGAGUCAGAUGCUUAACCAGCUGAGCCACCCAGGGCUGUUGUUUGGAAGGUGGUUGGCUGAAAUCCUCAACUAAAACCCUAAAUGGUGGAUUUUCCUGUGCUGUCAAUACCGAAGAAGUUGGGACUGGAUGAUCUCUAAGAACACUCCCAGCUCUUACGUCCUACACUUUUUUAUGAGCUUUAUGCCUUUUUUGUUUUUGCCCCUGUUAUGUAGCUACCAGAUGAUCUCGUCCCCCAGACCCUUUUCUCCUCUGGUUACUUCCUGAAGUCACUGUUAAACCUUUAACAGUUAGGCACUUAGGAAGAAAGAGAAACUUUCAAAGUGGGAGAAUGGGAGCAGUUCAUUCACUGUUCAAUAAAUACUUGUAGAUUUCUUACCAUGUGUUGGACUAACCACAAAGAGACAGACUAACCAAAUUAUCAUAAGCAUGACUAUAAAAACCCGUGCUAGGAAGUUUCCCUAUAACAAAGGACUGAAGACCUGGCGGAAGAGUCCCAACAAGCUUCUCUCGGGAAGAACCAAUACCUGAGCUGAGAUCUGAGGAGGAACAAGGGUUACAAAGUGAAAGAAGGUAGGGGGGCAAAAUCAUUCCAGGAAGAACAACAAACAUUCCCAGGGGGCCUGUAGCAGAAGGAAGCCCAGUGUCUUCAGGAGCUUGGUAGCAAGCGGAUACAUCCCCCAAGGUAGUUAGGAGAAAACAGACAGAACCGGGUAAUGAUUUGGAUAACUGGAGAUAGUUCUCUCUCUUGCUACUCUCUUCCUCCCUCUUUUUUUCCUAGCAGAGAAUACUUUAGCCAGGCAUUGUUUUAGCACUUUAUAUGUAUUAACUCAACAAUAGCCAAGUGAGUAUGUGGUAGAAUACAUGAACUUAUGACCCUACUGGAAAACCUCCUCUUAGACC